AGACCAUGAUGAAGGUAACACCUAAGCAGAUCCUUGUAUCUCUCCCAAGCUUCGUACAACGAUUUUGCAUCUAGUUGCAUGAAAGAUGUGAUAUCAUUCCUCAUUUU
RNAcentral lists this small nucleolar RNA (107 nucleotides) under Theobroma cacao (cacao). RNAcentral describes it as "Plant small nucleolar RNA R71". It matches the Rfam family "Plant small nucleolar RNA R71". From Rfam's summary of the family: R71 is a member of the C/D box family of snoRNAs containing the C (UGAUGA) and D (CUGA) box motifs. Multiple nearly identical copies of this snoRNA have been identified in Arabidopsis, and it is thought to function as a 2'-O-ribose methylation guide for 18S ribosomal RNA. The record is from Rfam by way of RNAcentral. Lineage: Eukaryota; Viridiplantae; Streptophyta; Magnoliopsida; Malvales; Malvaceae.